AACGUAGGACGCAAGCGUUAUCCGGAGUUACUGGGCGUAAAGCGCGGGCAGGCGGUCGGUCAAGUCUGAUGUGAAAUCUCUCCGCUCAACGGGGAGCAGCCAUUGGAAACUGGGCGACUGGAGUCUGACAGAGGUAGGCGGAAUUCCGGGUGGAGUGGUGAAAUGCGUAGGGAUCCGGAGGAACACCAGAGGCGAAGGCGGCCUACUGGGUCAGUACUGACGCUGAGGCGCGAAAGCGUGGGGAGCAAACGGG
This 253-nucleotide ribosomal RNA is filed under the name uncultured bacterium. RNAcentral's name for it is "partial 16S ribosomal RNA". It matches the Rfam family "Bacterial small subunit ribosomal RNA", at positions 524 to 776 of the family's 1533-position model. The record is from RNAcentral.